Molecule: long non-coding RNA, 1371 nt
Filed under: Homo sapiens (human)
Lineage: Eukaryota; Metazoa; Chordata; Mammalia; Primates; Hominidae
Description: non-protein coding lnc-MKKS-6:1
Source: RNAcentral
ACCUUUUCAUAGUGCAUUAUUGCUUUUAUCAAUAUUGAAGAUAAGUGUUGCUACCAUAACCCUGUUCUACUAUGUUAUUCAUAUUGCACAACCUUGAUCAAACUCAAUCCAAUCAAAUAUUCAUUUCUCUUAGCCUUAUGUCUCUCAUCUUCAUCAAACAAACCAAAACAACAGCAACAACAUCAAACUAAUGCAUCUAAGCAUCUAAGUCAUGGGUUAAUGUGCUCUCAUUUGGCUCACAAUAGCCACCUUUUUUUCUCUGGGUUUCUAUUCUUGCCCUCCAGAAAGAGCCAGUACUUGGAUUUGUUUGGAGACUAAUAAUCUCUUUCCCUGACUGUAAUGGCAUGGGAAUAUGAUCAAAAAUGGGUUUGGUGCUAUUAUUUUCACUGGAUGAAAUUUCUUGAAGAGAAUGCAACCGUAAGAUGCAAAGCACUUAUUCUAAGGGAAUAUAUUGUUAAGCACAGUGACUGCUGCUGAGACAACUCCCUAAGUAAAUCAGCUGCAUCUAUUCUAACAUUCUAUGCCGCACAACUGUUAGUUGUCAAAACACUCUUCAUAAUAAUAGUUAUUUGUCAAGAACUUGCAAUGUGAUAGGAAUCAAACUAAGAACUUUAUAUGAAACUAGGGGGAUUAUAUAGAAACCCCCAAACCUUUGGUACUCCAAAUGUGUUCCCCAGACCAGCAUCGGCCUCACCAGGGAGCUUGUUAGGAGUUCCACCCCAGACUUAUUGGAUUGGAUCACGUACUGAACAACAUAUCAAGCACUAAGUUUGAGAAGUGCUGCCCUAAAUCACAUUAUCUCCAUAUUAGGCUGGUAGGUGUGAGAGGUGGAGUUCCCACCUUGGGGGUGACUCUGUGCCUGUGCUCCACUCUUGACCACGCGAUGUUAUUUUAACCUCACCAAUUCACAUGUCCUACAGACUCCCAACAUCAUUUACCUCCCAAGCUGACUGAAAGCUCCACGGGGCCAUGGGUUCUGAGUCUCCUAAUGGUGCCCUGCACUGGAGGGUGGACAAAAUGACUGAUUUCCAUGAGAUAAAUUCUUGUAUUCAGAAAAUGAAGAGAAGAUAGUUAUUAGAAAAAGCACACUGACGAUGUUCUGUCUCUCCCAAAUAACAAGGUUUGUGAAGUCUUGUUCUGUAAGACAGAGGAAGAAGAGACUGAGGAUUUUGUGCAUUGGAGACUCUGUGGAUGGUGCUGAUAAAUUAUUCUUCUCCCUCUGCAAAUAAUUAAAGCUUAUGUUUUAAGGCAAACUAAGGACCAGAGCAAAAAGUACUUUCAGCAGAUAACAUGCUGUAAGUUUCUGUUUACAUUUCUAUCACUAAGAAUGGACACUUCUUAAAUCUGCCGUGUUCAUAGUUGUAAAUUUUC